Molecule: transfer RNA, 64 nt
Filed under: Thermocatellispora tengchongensis
Lineage: Bacteria; Bacillati; Actinomycetota; Actinomycetes; Streptosporangiales; Streptosporangiaceae
Description: tRNA-Leu
Rfam family: tRNA
About the family: Transfer RNA (tRNA) molecules are approximately 80 nucleotides in length. Their secondary structure includes four short double-helical elements and three loops (D, anti-codon, and T loops). Further hydrogen bonds mediate the characteristic L-shaped molecular structure. tRNAs have two regions of fundamental functional importance: the anti-codon, which is responsible for specific mRNA codon recognition, and the 3' end, to which the tRNAs corresponding amino acid is attached (by aminoacyl-tRNA synthetases). tRNAs cope with the degeneracy of the genetic code in two manners: having more than one tRNA (with a specific anti-codon) for a particular amino acid; and 'wobble' base-pairing, i.e. permitting non-standard base-pairing at the 3rd anti-codon position.
Source: RNAcentral
AGGGCUGUAGCACACUCGACUCAUAAUCCGUAGGUCGUGGGUUCAAGUCCCACCCGCCCUACCA